AUGCAGAGCCCAAGUCGCAUCGGCCGGAAGCAGCCAAACCUAGCCGUCACGGAUCCGAGUGCGUCCAGCGCCGCCGCUGCGGCUGCCGGGAUGGAGCCGGAGCUCGACAGCACCAAAGCCGCCGCCGGCAACCGCAAGCACCUGGCCAUGCUCGAGCGCCUCUCCAAGCGCACCGCCGCCUCCUCCGCGGGCUCCCCCGAGGCGUCCCCCGUCGCCGCCUUCCUCUCUCGGUUCGCCGCAGCCAAGGCCGCCGCGGAGACCGCCCUCUCCGCCUGCCGCUCCUCCCCCGACGGCGCUGCCGCCUCCCUCGCCGCGGCCUCAUCCGCCGUCGACGACCUCGAGCGCCUCGUCGCGGAGGCCUCCCACUCCCUCCCGCCGUACGAGCUCCGGUCCGCGCUCGCCGCCGUCUCCGACCUCCGCGCCGCCCACAAGCUCGCCGCCUCCGAGAUCCGGCCCAAGAAGUCAUUCUCCUUCAGGAACAAGAGCAAAGCCACCAAGAACCCCCCGCAGGAUCCUCCCGCCCUGCCCCAGCCGCCCCAGGAGCAGCCAAAGCCUAACCCCGAUGCGAUCCUGCCAGGGUUUGGGUUCAGGAGCAGGAAUGGCGCUACCUUGGUGAGGGAUCUGAGAGCUGCCAACGAGAAGGAUGGGGAUUUCACGCUUGCUGAUCUUGUUUCCUGUGAGGUUUACCUCAAGGGCAAAUGCCGGGCGCUGUACAUUCACAAGUUGAGAGAUUGCCGCGUCUUCAUUGGCCCUGUUUUCGGCUCAGUCCUCAUAGAGGAUGUUGAGCGCUGUACAUUUGUGAUGGCGGCGCAUCAGAUCAGGAUUCACGAAGCGAGGGCAACAGAUUUCUACCUGCGGGUGAGGAGCAGGCCGAUCAUCGAGGACUGCAGCGGUGUGAGAUUUGCACCACAUGCUUUGAAGUAUGAAGGGAUUGAAGAUGAUCUGAGGGAUUCUGGGCUUGCUGAGGACACUGGUAACUGGGUCAAUGUGGAUGACUUCAAAUGGCUCAGGGCAGUGCAGUCACCAAACUGGUGCUUGGUUCCCGAGGAAGAGCGUCUGCCGAUUGUCGACAUUUCAGAAGUUCAGGAAAAGGAGGAUUGA
Molecule: ribosomal RNA, 1101 nt
Filed under: Triticum aestivum (bread wheat)
Lineage: Eukaryota; Viridiplantae; Streptophyta; Magnoliopsida; Poales; Poaceae
Description: partial small subunit ribosomal RNA
Source: RNAcentral